RNAcentral lists this long non-coding RNA (1172 nucleotides) under Homo sapiens (human). Its description in RNAcentral is "non-protein coding CYP1B1-AS1:43". The record is from RNAcentral. Lineage: Eukaryota; Metazoa; Chordata; Mammalia; Primates; Hominidae.
AAGCAUUGACUUCAACUAUGGUUGCUAACACAAGAAUCGGCACUGGUGACUUUUGAGCCAUCAAUCAUCCUUUCCUAACACAUGAAUCUUUUGGAAAAUGGUCUCAAAUAGUCAAGACCCCCUGCUGGGAGGAGCUUCUAUCCUGCUCUGUGGAAGAAAUGGGCAUGCCAGAUGCCUGGAAGAUCAGAGGCUCACAUUCCAGGGUGGACCUCAAUAACAAUCAGAUAACAGUUGAGACAGCUGGUGAAAGAGAUGAGGAAGAACACUAAGCGAUUUCCCGGAAGACAGCAGAAAGAACAACCAGUACACAGGCUGAGGAUGUAAACAAACCCGCCAUGUUGUGGAAACCAGGAGGAGGCUCAUGUGCCCAAAAUGCAGUCAGUAGGAGAUAAGGUCAGAGAAGUAAGAAGGUGUCAACUCAAUAGGGCCUGGCAGCCCAUUGUAAUGACUGGGGCUUUCACACUGAGUGAAAGAUGGUAAGCAUCCAAGGGAGAAACAGGAGAGCAAUUAAAAGAGUGGCAAAAAUCUAGACUUGGAGAGUAAUUACCACCGAUUAUAAGAAGUGGUCAGGUUCCAGAUGUCUUCAAAGGCAGAGCCAACAGGAUUUGCCGGUGGAUUGCACGUGUAAUUGUGAAAGAAAUGAUGAUGUCAAACAUGACUCCAAAGUUUUUGGCCUGAGAAGCUGGAAGUUGCCAUUCUAAGACAGAAAAGACUGUAGAUCAAGCAGGUUCUGGAGGGGAUUUCAAUUCUACUCAUUUUAAGGUGAGAUGUCUACUUAAUAUCCAAGUGGAAAAAUAAGGUAGGCAACUGGAUAUACAGGGCUGGAAUUCAAAGAAGUCCAAACUGGUAAUAUACAUUUUGAGUCCUCAGCAUAAAGAUGGAAUUUAGAGACAUGUAACUGAAUGAGACCACCAAGGAAUCGGUGUAGGAAGAGAAGAGGUUGAAGAAUGGAAUCCUGAGGCAUUCCAGUGUCAAAAGAAGAAAUUGAGAAAAGCAGAUUGAGAAAUGUGGCCUCCUGGAAGCUGGAUGAAGAGAGUCUUCCUAGAAAGAGUGAAUGAUUGUUAUGUCAGCAUGCCCAGAAGUGGGGUAGGAUGAGGACUGGGAAGAGAGAAAGUCCUGAUUUGUAGAGUUUGCCAAUUUCCAUGGCGAAAAUACUCCCACCAGAGUUGAUU